GAGGGUAUAGCUCAGUGGUAGAGUGCGUGCUUAGCAUGCAUGAGGUCCUGGGUUCAGUCCCCAGUACCUGCA
RNAcentral lists this transfer RNA (72 nucleotides) under Camelus bactrianus (Bactrian camel). It matches the Rfam family "tRNA". From Rfam's summary of the family: Transfer RNA (tRNA) molecules are approximately 80 nucleotides in length. Lineage: Eukaryota; Metazoa; Chordata; Mammalia; Artiodactyla; Camelidae. RNAcentral also lists the same sequence under 2 other names. The record is from Rfam by way of RNAcentral.